Molecule: ribosomal RNA, 455 nt
Filed under: Cordyceps fumosorosea
Lineage: Eukaryota; Fungi; Ascomycota; Sordariomycetes; Hypocreales; Cordycipitaceae
Description: eukaryotic LSU rRNA
Rfam family: 5.8S ribosomal RNA (bases 79-231)
Source: RNAcentral
AGCGGAACGAAANCANCAACACCUAAAAUGUGGAAUAUAGCAUAUAGUCGACAAGAGAAAUCUACCAAAAACAAACAAAACUUUCAACAACGGAUCUCUUGGUUCUCGCAUCGAUGAAGAGCGCAGCGAAAUGCGAUACCUAGUGUGAAUUGCAGCCAUCGUGAAUCAUCGAGUUCUUGAACGCACAUUGCGCCCCUCGGCAUUCCGGGGGGCAUGCCUGUUUGAGCGUCGUUUCCAUCUUGCGCGUGCGCAGAGUUGGGGGAGCGGAGCGGACGACGUGUAAAGAGCGUCGGAGCUGCGACUCGCCUGAAAGGGAGCGAAGCUGGCCGAGCGAACUAGACUUUUUUUCAGGGACGCUUGGCGGCCGAGAGCGAGUGUUGCGAGACAACAAAAAGCUCGACCUCAAAUCAGGUAGGAAUACCCGCUGAACUUAAGCAUAUCAAUAAGCGGAGGAA